UGCCCGAAGGGUGACGAAGCGACGCCGCGUGGGUGAGGAAGGCCUUCGGGUUGUAAAGCCCUGUCAGGAGUUAAGAAAUGUAGACUCGCUAAUAUCGGGUCUAUUUGACAAAGGCUCCAAAGGAAGCCACGGCUAACUCUGUGCCAGCAGCCGCGGUAAUACAGAGGUGGCAAGCGUUGUUCGGAAUUAUUGGGCGUAAAGAGCACGUAGGUGGAUUUGUAAGUCAGACGUGAAAGCCUUCUGUUCAACGGGAGAAUUGCAUCUGAAACUACAAACCUUGAGUGUAGGAGGGGAGAAUGGAACUUCUGGUGGAGCGGUGAAAUGCGUAGAUAUCAGAAGGAACGCCGGCGGCGAAAGCGAUUCUCUGGCCUAUUACUGACACUCAGUGUGCGAAAGCUAGGGGAGCAAACGGGAUUAGAUACCCCGGUAGUCCUAGCCGUAAACGAUGGGCACUAAGUAGAGGGG
RNAcentral lists this ribosomal RNA (465 nucleotides) under uncultured Planctomycetota bacterium. RNAcentral describes it as "bacterial SSU rRNA". It matches the Rfam family "Bacterial small subunit ribosomal RNA", at positions 372 to 828 of the family's 1533-position model. The record is from RNAcentral. Lineage: Bacteria; Pseudomonadati; Planctomycetota.